Molecule: ribosomal RNA, 253 nt
Filed under: uncultured bacterium
Lineage: Bacteria
Description: partial 16S ribosomal RNA
Rfam family: Bacterial small subunit ribosomal RNA
Source: RNAcentral
UACGGGGGGGGCAAGCGUUGUUCGGAAUUACUGGGCGUAAAGGGCUCGUAGGCGGCCAACUAAGUCAGACGUGAAAUCCCUCGGCUUAACCGGGGAACUGCGUCUGAUACUGGAUGGCUUGAGUUUGGGAGAGGGAUGCGGAAUUCCAGGUGUAGCGGUGAAAUGCGUAGAUAUCUGGAGGAACACCGGUGGCGAAGGCGGCAUCCUGGACCAACACUGACGCUGAUGAGCGAAAGCGUGGGUAGCAAACAGG